UAAAUUAAAAAAGCGCUGGUGCUUGGAGGUUUUCCAAGCAGACGAGGAAGAGGUUUAUCGAGCAGUCAGCGGAUGCCUCUCGGCCCCUGUCAGUCGUUAGCCGGCCGACAAACCCGCAGGGUGAUCUGCGGAACAAAACGGCGGCAUGCAGGACA
Sporomusa sphaeroides DSM 2875 is the source of this 155-nucleotide non-coding RNA. NCBI's taxonomy places the organism in Bacteria, Bacillati, Bacillota, Negativicutes, Selenomonadales, Sporomusaceae. The record is from Rfam.